UUUCCGUAGGUGAACCUGCGGAAGGAUCAUUAAAGUUAUAGUCCCCCGGCCCUCUGGGCUGGGGUCUUCUAUACCACCCUUUGUUUAUUACACCUUUGUUGCUUUGGCAGGCCUGCCCUCGGGCUGCUGGCUCCGUCCGGCUCGCGUCUGCCAGAGGACCUAAACUCUGUUUGUAUAUGAAGUCUGAGUACUAUAUAAUAGUUAAAACUUUCAACAACGGAUCUCUUGGUUCUG
RNAcentral lists this unclassified non-coding RNA (234 nucleotides) under plant metagenome. RNAcentral describes it as "partial contains small subunit ribosomal RNA, internal transcribed spacer 1, and 5.8S ribosomal RNA". The record is from RNAcentral.